This 429-nucleotide ribosomal RNA is filed under the name Acidobacteriota bacterium. RNAcentral's name for it is "Acidobacteria bacterium partial 16S ribosomal RNA". It matches the Rfam family "Bacterial small subunit ribosomal RNA", at positions 355 to 776 of the family's 1533-position model. The record is from RNAcentral. Lineage: Bacteria; Pseudomonadati; Acidobacteriota.
UGGGGAAUUUUGGACAAUGGGGGAAACCCUGAUCCAGCCAUCCCGCGUGUGCGAUGAAGGCCUUCGGGUUGUAAAGCACUUUUAGCAGGAAAGAAACGUCAUGGGUUAAUACCCCGUGAAACUGACGGUACCUGCAGAAUAAGCACCGGCUAACUACGUGCCAGCAGCCGCGGUAAUACGUAGGGUGCAAGCGUUAAUCGGAAUUACUGGGCGUAAAGCGUGCGCAGGCGGUUCGGAAAGAAAGAUGUGAAAUCCCAGAGCUCAACUUUGGAACUGCAUUUUUAACUACCGGGCUAGAGUGUGUCAGAGGGAGGUGGAAUUCCGCGUGUAGCAGUGAAAUGCGUAGAUAUGCGGAGGAACACCGAUGGCGAAGGCAGCCUCCUGGGACAACACUGACGCUCAUGCACGAAAGCGUGGGGAGCAAACAGG